GCUUACGACCACACCGGCCUGAGUACGCCUGAUCUCGUCUGAUCUCGGAAGCUAAGCAGGGUCGGGCCUGGUUAGUACUUUGAAUGGGAGACCGCCUGGGAAUACCAGGUGCUGUAAACA
Molecule: ribosomal RNA, 120 nt
Filed under: Oncorhynchus kisutch (coho salmon)
Lineage: Eukaryota; Metazoa; Chordata; Actinopteri; Salmoniformes; Salmonidae
Source: RNAcentral